RNAcentral lists this ribosomal RNA (255 nucleotides) under Klebsiella oxytoca. RNAcentral describes it as "partial 23S ribosomal RNA". It matches the Rfam family "Bacterial large subunit ribosomal RNA", at positions 1420 to 1674 of the family's 2925-position model. Lineage: Bacteria; Pseudomonadati; Pseudomonadota; Gammaproteobacteria; Enterobacterales; Enterobacteriaceae. The record is from RNAcentral.
GGGAAACAGGUUAAUAUUCCUGUACUUGGUGUUACUGCGAAGGGGGGACGGAGAAGGCUAUGUUGGCCGGGCGACGGUUGUCCCGGUUUAAGCAUGUAGGCGGAUGUUCCAGGUAAAUCCGGAACGUUACUAACGCUGAGGUGUGAUGACGAGGCACUACGGUGCUGAAGUGACAAAUGCCCUGCUUCCAGGAAAAGCCUCUAAGCAUCAAGUAACAUCAAAUCGUACCCCAAACCGACACAGGUGGUCAGGUAG